Molecule: ribosomal RNA, 308 nt
Filed under: uncultured bacterium
Lineage: Bacteria
Description: partial 16S ribosomal RNA
Rfam family: Bacterial small subunit ribosomal RNA
Source: RNAcentral
GAGACAGCAGUCGCCGCGGUAAUACGAAGGGUGCAAGCGUUACUCGGAAUUACUGGGCGUAAAGCGUGCGUAGGUGGUGGUUUAAGUCCGUUGUGAAAGCCCUGGGCUCAACCUGGGAAUUGCAGUGGAUACUGGGUCACUAGAGUGUGGUAGAGGAUAGUGGAAUUUCCGGUGUAGCAGUGAAAUGCGUAGAGAUCGGAAGGAACAUCUGUGACGAAGGCGACUAUCUGGGCCAACACUGACACUGAGGCACGAAAGCGUGGGGAGCAAACAGGAUUAGAUACCCCAGUAGUCCCUGUCUCUUAUAC